This 275-nucleotide unclassified non-coding RNA is filed under the name uncultured fungus. Its description in RNAcentral is "partial contains small subunit ribosomal RNA, internal transcribed spacer 1, and 5.8S ribosomal RNA". The stretch from base 1 to 73 matches the Rfam family "Eukaryotic small subunit ribosomal RNA", at positions 1759 to 1831 of the family's 1831-position model. The record is from RNAcentral. Lineage: Eukaryota; Fungi.
UCAAACUUGGUCAUUUAGAGGAAGUAAAAGUCGUAACAAGGUCUCCGUAGGUGAACCUGCGGAGGGAUCAUUACCGAGUGAGGGCCUCUGGCCCGACCUCCAACCCUUUGUUAUCAAAACCACUGUUGCCUCGGGGGCGACCCGCGCCCGUCGGCGCCGGGGCCCCCGACGGACCACUUCAAAACUCUGCAUCUAGACGUCGGAUUCAAAAGUUUAAUUGAUUUAAAACUUUCAACAACGGAUCUCUUGGUUCUGGCAUCGAUGAAGAACGCAGC